GGCGUUAAGUUGCAGGGUAUAGACCCGAAACCCGGUGAUCUAGCCAUGGGCAGGUUGAAGGUUGGGUAACACUAACUGGAGGACCGAACCGACUAAUGUUGAAAAAUUAGCGGAUGACCUGUGGCUGGGGGUGAAAGGCCAAUCAAACCGGGAGAUAGCUGGUUCUCCCCGAAAGCUAUUUAGGUAGCGCCUCGUGAACUCAUCUCCGGGGGUAGAGCACUGUUUCGGCUAGGGGGCCAUCCCGGCUUACCAACCCGAUGCAAACUGCGAAUACCGGAGAAUGUUAUCACGGGAGACACACGGCGGGUGCUAACGUCCGUCGUGAAGAGGGAAACAACCCAGACCGCCAGCUAAGGUCCCAAAGUCAUGGUUAAGUGGGAAACGAUGUGGGAAGGCCCAGACAGCCAGGAUGUUGGCUUAGAAGCAGCCAUCAUUUAAAGAAAGCGUAAUAGCUCACUGGUCGAGUCGGCCUGCGCGGAAGAUGUAACGGGGCUAAACCAUGCACCGAAGCUGCGGCAGCGACAUUUAGGUGUUGUUGGGUAGGGGAGCGUUCUGUAAGCCUGUGAAGGUGGCCUGUGAGGGUUGCUGGAGGUAUCAGAAGUGCGAAUGCUGACAUAAGUAACGAUAAAGCGGGUGAAAAGCCCGCUCGCCGGAAGACCAAGGGUUCCUGUCCAACGUUAAUCGGGGCAGGGUGAGUCGACCCCUAAGGCGAGGCCGAAAGGCGUAGUCGAUGGGAAACGGGUUAAUAUUCCCGUACUUGGUGUUACUGCGAAGGGGGGACGGAGAAGGCUAUGUUGGCCGGGCGACGGUUGUCCCGGUUUAAGCGUGUAGGUGUGUGUUCCAGGUAAAUCCGGUUCACUUUAACACUGAGGCGUGAUGACGAGGCACUACGGUGCUGAAGCAACAAAUGCCCUGCUUCCAGGAAAAGCCUCUAAGCAUCAGGUAACAUCAAAUCGUACCCCAAACCGACACAGGUGGUCAGGUAGAGAAUACCAAGGCGCUUGAGAGAACUCGGGUGAAGGAACUAGGCAAAAUGGUGCCGUAACUUCGGGAGAAGGCACGCUGACACGUAGGUGAAGUGAUUUACUCAUGGAGCUGAAGUCAGUCGAAGAUACCAGCUGGCUGCAACUGUUUAUUAAAAACACAGCACUGUGCAAACACGAAAGUGGACGUAUACGGUGUGACGCCUGCCCGGUGCCGGAAGGUUAAUUGAUGGGGUCAGCGCAAGCGAAGCUCCUGAUCGAAGCCCCGGUAAACGGCGGCCGUAACUAUAACGGUCCUAAGGUAGCGAAAUUCCUUGUCGGGUAAGUUCCGACCUGCACGAAUGGCGUAAUGAUGGCCAGGCUGUCUCCACCCGAGACUCAGUGAAAUUGAACUCGCUGUGAAGAUGCAGUGUACCCGCGGCAAGACGGAAAGACCCCGUGAACCUUUACUAUAGCUUGACACUGAACAUUGAGCCUUGAUGUGUAGGAUAGGUGGGAGGCUUUGAAGCGUGGACGCCAGUCUGCGUGGAGCCGACCUUGAAAUACCACCCUUUAAUGUUUGAUGUUCUAACGUGGACCCGU
This 1565-nucleotide ribosomal RNA is filed under the name Salmonella enterica subsp. enterica serovar Napoli. RNAcentral's name for it is "partial 23S ribosomal RNA". It matches the Rfam family "Bacterial large subunit ribosomal RNA", at positions 691 to 2236 of the family's 2925-position model. Lineage: Bacteria; Pseudomonadati; Pseudomonadota; Gammaproteobacteria; Enterobacterales; Enterobacteriaceae. The record is from RNAcentral.